GAAGUCGAAAGGGUUGGGUCGGUGUAUUCGCGCUUAAAAUAACCUUCUUCACUCAUCCCUCUGGCUUCUCUCAAAACAACAUACAUACAUGUUUCUUUGAAGAAUAGGGUUUUAUUUGGAGGUUCUUUUUCUUCUAUCGACACCACCGUUUCCUCUUUCUUUCAUUCCCCGACGUUCAACAAUCCUCUGCGUUUCCCUCUUCCUCUGUUAGGUAUUUUAAAUUAGGCUAACAUCUUCAGGCCUCCCUUCAUCACUGGGGCUAUUGGGUUGUACCUUUAUUAUUUGUAGUUGUAGUAUGACGUCUGGUUCCGAUGUCAGUUUGGUUCACCGUCAUCAUCGAUCAAGAAAAAGAAUACAUGUCUUUCUCCUCUGAUUUCUAGGUUGUAAGUUUAAUUGUGUGUUUUCUCCUCCGAUUUCUGGGUUUCUUUUUUUCUUUCUAUUUCUCGUCCAUUUAUUUUUUGUUUUGUUGGUUUUUUGAAGCAGGUCACCUAAUAGAAAUCACCCAUCAAAUGAAGAUGAUUGGUCAAACAAUAGAUUUUUAGAGAUUGACAAUUGAUUUUUUGGGGGCAUAAGAAAAGUAAGCUUGAAUCUUAAUCAAAUGAGGAUACUUCCAAGAGGUGUUGUGAUUUUUUUAACAAUUUAUAUGCUGAGCUUUUUGUUUCAAGGCUACUACAAAGAUACGUUUUUAGUUCCAUUGAAUCUCAAAUAAGGGUGUUGGGUGAUUUCUGUCUUCUAUCCACUGAAUUACAAAAGAUAUGAGAAAUGAUGGGAUUAACUUACUUCAUGUUGAAUCAAUCAGAAAAGAUGUUGAAUAUUCCACAGAAACACCUUCAGUACUUAUUUAGUAUGCCUGGUAGAUCUUUACAUCAGAGAAGGAAAUGCCUCAUGGUGGAUUGAAAUGUUAAAAUCAAGUGGUCAAUAUAAAGAGGUGCUGAUGUAUACUUUCGUAUCUCUGAUGAGGUAAUAAUCAUGUUAAGAAACUUUUUUUUUAGCCAAAUGAAUUAUGUUAAGAAAGUAUGGAUUUCACUUCGUUCUUUCUGGUGAUCUGUACAAGAAAUGGGAUCAGGUAUUGCAAUUUUUGUUACCUUAUCAUAUAUCUUAAUACUUUAAUAGAAGAUAAUUUUGUUUUCCAAUUAGUACUUAAUAGAUAAUUUCUAUUAUCGAAUAUAUGAAAAUAACCAUACAUUUCAAAUUAUUUAAAAUGAGGUUUUUGACAGGUCAUUCUAUGAGGGUGAUGAUAAUCCAAAUGUAUGCAUUGUGCAUGAUAUAUUGAUGAUUUGCUCAUUCUACAACUUUGAUCUUGGUUAUUGUCAGGGCUUGAGUGAUCACUCUCCAAUAUUCAUUAUCCAUCAUGAAAGAUGAAUCACAAGUUUUCUGGUGUUUUGUUUUUUUUUCUUUUUUUAUGGGAAGAUUAGGUCCGAAUAUUAACCGUGAUCAAGGGUUUUUUGGUCAUUUAAUUUGAAAUUUGAAGGAAUUUGACAGGGUUGAAUUGUGUCUGGAUUUUCAACCAAAUGCACCAUUGAAUGGAAUCCACAAUUCCAAUUCUUGGCUGCAAAUCAAUUACCAAAAAUAGUAUUUCAAGAAAAUCCAACAGAACUGAAUUCCGUCCCAAUUGUCAACCAAACACGUCAUGAAAUGGAAUAUCGAAUUCCAAUUCUGUCGGAACCCGCGAUUCCAUUUGUUAGCUGCAGUUUCUAACAUGUAUAUUAUUACUGUUUUGAUAUGGCAGCUCAUGUCACAACUACUUCAAACAAAACAACUGCUUCUGUUUACUGGAUUCUGAUAUAAUUCAAAAAGGCAAGAAAUGAUGGGAUUAACACACUUCAUGUUGAUCCAAUCAAAUAAAGAUGUUGAAUAUUGCAUGGAAAACACCUUCAGCAGUUAUUUAUGAAUUGGGACAUCAGGGAAGGGAAAUGCCACAUGGUGUGUUCUUUGGUGGGUUGAAAUGUUAAAAACAAGAGGAUGCUGUAUCUCUGAUGGGGAACCUGUUCAUUCACAUCUUAUUGUUGUGGUCAUUAUGUUAAGGAAGUAUCGAUCAAGGUACAUUAUUGAAUCUCAAAAAAGGGUGUUGGGUGAUUAUGCCUUCAUGUUAUGAAAUUAUGAACUUGCUUUAUCAAAUUGCCACUGAUUACAACCUGACAAAGCAUGGAAACAAUAUGAAUUGAUGUGCUUUUUUAUCAAAAAAAAAAUGUUGAAUAUUGCAUGAAAACGCCAUCAGAACUUAUUUGGUACACCUGUUAAACAACAUGUUCUUAUUGCUACAGUUUAUCCUUCUCAGAAGGACCAUGAAGCCUUUGAUCAUCCUGUUACAUGGUUUGAGUGAUCUCUCUUCAAUAUCAUUAUUCAUCAUGAAAGAGGAAUCACAAGUUUUCUAGUGUUUUUUUUUUUUUUUUUUUUUUUUUUUAAGGAAAGAUUAGGUCCAAAUUUCAACCGUGAUGGAGGGUAUUUUGGUCAUUUAAUAAAAAAAAGAGUAAUGAAAUUGAAACCACCUGCCCUCAUGAAUGGUUGAAAAGGAAUUUGACAGGGUUAAUUUUCAACCAAUUCUUGGCUGUGAAGCGAUUACUAAAAAUGGAAUUUCAAGAAAAUCGACCAGAACUAAAUUCCGUCCCAAUCAUCAACCAAACAUGUCAUGAAAUGGAAUCUCGAAUUCCAACUCUGUCGGAAUCCGCGAUUCCAUUUCUUAGCUGUGGUUUCGAACAUGUCUAUUAUUGUUUUGAUAUGGCUGCUCAUUGCACUACGACUUCAAACAAAACGAUGGAUCUUCUGUUUCCAGUGGAUUCUGAUACAAUUAAGUAAAUUUACUCUUCUACCCUCACAAACUACACUACACUACUAAUGUGACAAUUUAGAGAGUUUUUUGGGAAAAAGAUGGAUGAGAAGAAUCCUCAAUAUAUAUUAUACGUAAUACACAAGCUAGUUAUCAGCCUAAAUUACAUGUGCUUAUUUAUUAUCUUCACUUCAGGAAAUGAUGAGCCAUUUUUAUUAAAAAAAAAUGGUGAAUAAAGCAGUUAUUGCUAUCUGUGUAUCAGAAGGUGGAUUGAAGUUACCUAAUUUUCCCUUAUACAUACAUACAUACAUACAUGUUCAUAUCAGUUUAUCUUUCUUCUUUGUUAAACAUACUGAGAUUCUUCAGUUGCCAAAGCAGACAGAUUAAGGAGAAGCACAUCAAAAUGGUAAAUUCUUUUGGUAGCAAUUAACAAUUUUAAACAGUACAAAAUUCAAUUUUAAACAGAUCAAACACCCUCACUGGGUUUCUUUCUCUUUUUCUCCUCCAUUUAUCUUUUGUUUUGUUGGGUUUUUGAAUUAGAUCACCUACUCUGCACUUUAGGUGUCUGAUGAAAUUUCUUAAUUAAGUUAAAGAGUUGUUUUGCAGGUGAAAAUGUUGUUGGAUUGAAUUAUGUAGACAAAAGUAAAUAAUCACAAACCAAACCAAACCAAAUUAAAACUUUUUGAGCCAUUAAAGAUUCAAUUAGGGAAAGAUAAUUUGUUAUUUGUAAUUUUACUCAAUUAGAAACAGAAGUGUGUCUUGAAUCUUAAUCAAACGAAGAGGUGUUGUGAUUUCUUUGUGGGCCUGUUUGUGUCAUCGCCUCUCUUCUUAUUUCUGAGAUUCCAAGAAUAAAGAACACAAAGUCUUUGUUACGUUAGAAUGUUUUUUUUUUUUUUUUUUUUUUUUUUUUUUUUUUUUUUUUUGUAUUUGUAAUGUUCUCUGUUUCUAAAUCUCAUUGUGUUAUUCAUGUUGCAGGAGUUGUAUUUAUCAAAAGAUUUAGAUGUUUCUGAGAAAUGUUUUUAUUUAUUUAUUUUCAAGUAGGUGACAAAUGAGUGGUUAAAACAGGUUAUUACUGAUGCAUAGAGCCAUUGCGUAUAGAAACUAUACCCAUCGGUAUGUUUUUCAGCUAAUUAUACACCUAGUGAAAGUUGCACACAGUUGUAAGAGUUAAAAUUUUUAUCAUUUUAAAGCCAUUCAUUUAUUUCCCCUUGCAGCUUCUCAUAAGAUACAAUUUGGUUUUGUAUCUUAUUUUAUAGUGUGUCUUACAAGUUCAAUUGUAUACUAUAUAUGUGUGUGUGUGUGUGUGAAGUUCAUAAUUGCAUGUGAUACAGAGCAAGUGAAUCACUCUUCUGCACAAGCCAUAUUUUGUGUGCCACAGACAUUACAUAUUAUAAGUUUCCCCAGUUGAUAUUUAUAAAUGGUUAAAGUUGCUGAUGACUUUGACAUUGAGCUUUUUGUCAGAGAUUCCUUCUGAUACUGGUAUUAUGGUUAAUCAUUUUCUUAUCAAUUGCACUGAUAAGAAGAUUCUUUAUUGAAAUCAUAUGGUUAAUCAUUUUCUUAUUAGGACAUUCUGCUUUGAAAAUUCUACCCAAUUAUAUAUAGCACUGUACUUCCAUUUAUUUCUUAUUGCAACAUAACAUACUUUGAAAAAUCUGCCCAUUUAUAGAUAGCAUCACACUUUCAAUUUGUGUUCCAAGGCUACUACAAAUUUACACUUUUAGUUCCAUUGAAUCUCAAAUAUUAUAAGGGAGUUGGUUAUUGAUUCCAGCCUUCUUCUAUCCACUGGUUACAAAAGAUUAUAUGAGCCUACGACCCUGUUUGUGUAAUUCCAGAAAUACCCCUCUGUUCCUAAAACUUGUGCUUAUUUAUAUCAUCUUCAGGAAAUGAUGGGAUUAACAUACUUGAUGUCGAAUCAAUCAAAAAAAGAUGUGCUUUUAUUCAGUGAAUUGGGACAUUAGGGAAGGAAAUGUUAAAAACAAGUGGUCAAUAUAAAGAGAGGGUGUUUGUGUGUACUUUCUUAUCUCUGAUGAGGACCUCUUCAUUCAGCUGUGGUGCUUGAACAGACAUCUUAUUGCUGUUACCUUUUUUUUUAGCCAAACGAAUUAUGUUAAGAAAGUAAGGAUUUCAUCUCAUUCUUUCUGGUGGUGAUCUGUACAAGAAACGGGAUCAGUGGUCAAGCUUUUUGGAUUAUGAAGGCUGAGUCAUGGAUCCAGACGCUUUAAAACAGAGAAUAUUCUAUAGGGGCAAAAAGAGGUUUAUGCAUUCUUAGUGGGAUCUUAUUCAUACCAUUCAACAGUAUGUUGUCUCAGUUAAAAACAUUAGAGUACAUGACUAUCAAAAACCAAUUGCAGGUAAAUGACUAUUGUGCCCUCCAAGUUCUAUCACCCAAAUAUUAUAUUUAUUGCGAUUUAUAAAAAGGUUUACAGAAAUUAGAGAAAGGAAGGGUUUGAUUGAGAAAGAUGUGGUAUGAAAAUAACCAUACAGUUCAGAUGUGGUUUUUUUUUUUUUUUUUUUUUUUUUAUUUAAGUAUUUUAUUUUUGUUUUUAAGGUAAUGAUAUAUUGUUGACUUACUCAUUCUACAACUUUGAUCUUGGUUAUUGACAGGUAACAUGCCACUAUUAUUAUUUAUAGAGUAAAUUACAAUUUCGUCCUUGUGAUAUUUCAAAACUUAUGGUUUUCAUCUAAGAUAUUUCAUUUGCUGUACAAUUGGUCAGUAAAGUAUAGUUUUGUUGAAAGUUUUCUCCAUGGUGGAACUGUUGGUGUUGCAAAAUGUUUGUGAAAUCCAAGUGAAAUAUGACUAUUUUGUCCCUCUCUUUUUUUAUCCUUCAUCCUGUAAACCUAAAAUUCCUCAACUUUAAUCUUAAACUCUAAUCAAACCAAUACCCAACAAUUAAGCUAAAACUAAAACAAAAUUAAGAUCCAAGGUACCAACAAAUUUAUUUAAAAAAACCAUGAACAGUAAACUAAAAAGAUUAAAGAUUGUUAGGUUAGAAUUAUUUUUAUUUUAUACUUUUGGAUCUUGAUUCUUCUUUAAUUUUUGGGUGUUGAUUGAAUUUGGUUUGAUUUUUAUGAUUUAAGAUGAAGGAGAUUUAGAAGAUGAAGAUAGGGCAAAAAAAGUCAUUUUACUUUAUCUAAUUAGUCAUUUUACUUUGUGUUAUUUAUUUAUUUAUUUAUUAUACACACAAUAUUUUGCUAAUAAUUGAAAUAAAGAAUUUUUAUCUCACAAAACAUGAGUGAUCUCUCUCUCUCUCUCUCUCUCUCUCUCUCCAUUAUUAUUCAUCUUGAAAAAUGAUUCAUAAGCUUUCAGGUGUUUUAUUGGAAUGAUUAGGUCCAAAUUUCAACCGUGAUCAAAAAGGCAUGCACUCUCAACUCUUUCUUUGCGCUAUAAAAUGUCCUCCCUCUAUCUCAAUAUAUAACAAGGGUAUUUUGGUCUUUUAAUAAAGAGGGAGGAAUGAAUCAAAACUGGCAUUCCUUCUGCCUGCCCCUAUAAAUAAAUGGUUCAAGCCCAUCAAAUAUGAAAUACCAAGGAAUUUCACAAAGUUGCAUUCCGUCCGAAUUUUCAACCAAAGGCACCAUUCAAUGGAAUCUCGAAUUCCAAUCCCACCGGUAUCCACAAUUCCAGUUCCUAGCUGUGAUUAUCAAACAUGGAAUUUCAAGAAAUCCAACAUAAGUGUGUUCCAUCCAAAUUGUCAACCAAACACGUCAAGAAAUGGAAUCUCGAAUUCCAACUCUGCCAGAAUCCGCAAUUCCGUUUCUUAGCUGUGGUUUCUAACAUGUCUAUUAUUGUUUUGAUAGGGCAGCUGGUGGAACUACUCAACAGCCCAUUACACAACUGCUUUCUGUUUCUGUUGGAUUCUGAUCCAACUCAAAAGGCAAGUAAAUUUACUCUUCUACCCUCGCUAAUUAAAAAGUAUCACAUGGUUUCAGGGUAUUUGAAUACGAUAAAACAUUAAGGUUAUGGGAGGUGUUACGGACAAGGUAAUAAACCAAACUGUACUUUGCUGAUUACUAAAUAUACAUGUAAAAUGUCUAAUAAGGUAACAAUAAUAAAAAAAUCCUUUCCAUAUUGGCCUCAUAAGUUUGUAUGUUGCAACUGAAUGCUAUUUAGAUGCAAAGGUAUAUAACCUUCUAUUAAAACAUUAUACUUUCAUAAUCAAAUCUAUUAAGACACUGUAAUUUUAUUAUUUUUCCUAGUCACUCUACUUCCACAAACUAAACAUGUUUGUUUUUGGUUACUAGUUAUAGCAUUAUAGCUUUAAUUUUUUUUUUUUUUAUCAAGACUUUAUUUUGAAAAUCUGAACUUGCUUGAUUUUGGUAAACAUAUAUAGCAUUUUAUAUUCAAAAUCUAACAUAAUUAAAUGUUGUAAUUUGUAUUUCCUUUUCUUAUUAAGACAACAAACUUUGCAAAUUUUUUACCUUUGAACUUUUUCUUAUUAAAACUUUACACUUGGAAAAUCUAAUAUUAUUAGACAUUAUACUUUUUUUCCUACAUAGAUAAUGUACUUUGGAAAUCUAGACAACUACAACAUAGUACUUUUAAUCUGGCCUAUUAAGAUAUUUUCUUCUAUUUUUUUUUCCUAUUAAGAAAAUGUUUUUUAAAAUCUAACCUAUAUAUAUACACACACACACACGAAAACACAAAUGAUUUGUGAAAACGAAAACAACCAUUAAGGAUGAGACGCAUGUAUAUUUGAAAUAAAAAUAAAUGUUGUAUUAAGAUAAUUUAAAAAUAUACUCGGAAGGGUAAAUUUGGAAUUUGCAUUAACCGCAUUAAAACUUUACACUGACUUUUAUACUUUGAAAAUCUAACAUAUUUAGACAUUUUACUUUUAUUUUUUCCCUACUUAGACACUAUACUUGAAAAAUCUAGACAAUUAUAACAUUGUAUUUUGAAUGUGUAGACAAUUGUAAAAUAUAGCUAUAAAGAUUUUUUUUUCUUAUAAUCUUUUACUAUUAAGCCAUUGUACUUUGAAAAUCUAAGCAUCUAUGAUUUAUGUUCCCAUCACUAACAUUAUACUUUCAAUUUUCUUUCAUAUUUCUGUAUAUCUUUUUUCAUAUUAAGACAAUGUGCUUUAUCUUAAAUAUUACUAUUUAAAUUAUAGUGUUAUACUGCUAAUAUCUAACAUAUUAAGACUCAUUUAAUAUUUCUUUAAAAAUCUCACCUAUUAAGACUUUGUAACUUUAAAAACUUCUACCAUUCAACCUUUUUCUUAUUAAAGCAAUACACUUUGAAAAUCUAAUAUUAUUAGGACAACAUUUUAUUUUUGAAAUAUAACAUAUUUAAAUGUUAUCUUUUAACUUUUUUUUUUUCUUAUUAGGAUAAUACAUUUUGAAAACAUUGUACCUUUCAAGUUUUUUCUUGUUAAGACUAACCUCUUUGAAAAUCUAAGAUAUACUUUUAUGAACAGGUUUGCCACAUGAAUAAGGAAAGUCAAAGAUGGAGUUCUAAUGUUUGUCCAACAGUGAUAAGGAAAAUGAAUCGCUUUGGAAAGAAUAUGAGGGUCGCUGGAGCUGGCGCUGAAACUGUCAACUGGGGGCAAUUGGCCUUCUUGUGGCCCCUCUGGUUGCAGUGGAAACACAACAACUCAGACGUCUGGAUAACUGCUGCCGGAGCAGUGCAAUCCCUGCUAUAGUGUCCAGGCUUGCCGCACUUGUAGCAGCCUAAUGAUCCCAACCUGCAUGCCCCCUCGUGCGUCUUGCCGCAUUUCCUGCAGCGUCCCCGUUCCUGUUGCCGCAUUUCCUGACUGACCCUCUCCUGCCUUCCGUUUCCGGAUGUGCUCCAAGUCUAUCUCCCUCUCCCUUGCCCUGGCAAUCAUAGAGUCCAAGGUGAGGCAAGCUGAAAAACUAACGUGCUCCCGGAUAUCAGCCCGGAGCAUGUCGUGAUAGCGGGUCCUCCUCAUCGCCUGCAUACUGGGGCACCAGCAGUGCCCUCUCCCGGAACUUGGCGGUGAUCUCCGCCACAUUCUCCGUCGUCUGUCUCAUGUCCAAAAACUCCCUGGCCAGCUGCUGAAGCUCGACAGUCGGCGCAAACUCCGCCCUGAACCUGGUCACAAAAUCCGACCAGGUCAUAGUCUCGAUAGCUGAGGCUCCCAACGAGUCACCCACUGCCUCCCAACAAUCUCAAGCUCGGUCCCGUAAACAUCCUGUUGCAUACCUCACCUUCGACCCGAGGGGCAGAAGCUAGUCAACUGUGCAGACUCGAUGUCUGCAAUCCAUCGCCUAGCAGCAAUGGGGUCUUUCACCCCGUGGAAAUCCGGUGCACCACUGCCCCUGAAGUCCUUAAAGGACAGCGUGCGAGGCCCCGACUGGCCAGAUGCCAUGUCGCUCCUGAACGCCCUAAAGUGAUCCUCCAUCAACUCGAUGAUCCUCUCCUUGAUCGACCCAAAGAUGAUGGGGGUCGACUCAAGGAUGCCUCUGGUAAUCUCUCUGACGCGAUGAACUCGCGUAGUCCCUCAUCGACUGGCUCGGAACCUGAUCCCGAACCUGACCCCUCUCCUAAACCGCCAUCUAUCGGCCUCGAACGUAGUACCACCAUUCUGUAAUACAGGAAUAAUAACUGUUAGUGAUACUAAUACUUCUUGAGGGAUCACAUCUACCACAAGUUCCCUGGUCUCAUCUUGGCCUCCCUUGGCUCGGGUACGGAUCCUCUGCUUUCAGUAGUACGGGCCCAUACUACCUUCAACAUCUAUCCGUAUCUUCUCGAAGAACUGCCUCGACUCCACCAGAUCCCUUCCACUACGGCUGAUCACUACUAUACUCAUCCUAGGCUUGCCCUAGAGAAAUCUCAGGCUCCACCCUACCAGGUCCUCAGCUGCUGAAGGCCUCUUAGUAGUGCCAAUUGACCAUUACCUGAAUACCAUCACAUGUGGUGAGACUCGGAUAAUCCUUCGAGUAACAGGUUCAUCCCUACAACGGUUAGACUCAAACGAGAGCUGUGUAAUAGGGCCAAAUCCAACACUCUAAGAUUAUUCAACCUUGAUCACAUGUGACGUGACGUAUUCACCUAAUGGCUAACUCCCACCACUCAGAGUCCCACAAAGCACAAAGCAACCAUCAUUCGAGCUAAGGGAACAAUUUCAAGCAAAUCUGCUCUCAUAGAGAAGAACUAAUCUAGCAUACAGAGCUAAACUCAUAGUAUCAGGCAUAACCUAACAGGCUAUCCUAUUGCUGUCUACUCGACUCUAUCAUGCAAUUUUUUUUUAUACAGCUAAAACACAUAAAGCAGGCACAUAAGGCAUCGUUCCUAGAUCCUUAGUCAUAUUCUAGCAUUCUGUUCUACAAAAGCUGAUAAAUAUAACAUAAACUUGUAUGGGUACUUUGGGGAAUACUUACUUGAGCUCGGCCGGUCGCGCACAUCACACACUUCGUUCUUUCUCAAAACUAUUUUCUCAUUUUUUUUUGAAAACAUUUUCCUUUAGAAAAUCUUUCAAUCCCUCGAUUUGAGUUCAGACACCCCCGAAGGUGUGUCCGAAUCCCUCAAACCAAGGCUCUGAUACCAACUUGUAACGACCCAAUUUUCACGUCCAAAAAUUUUGUUUAUAAAUCAUUACUUGGAAAUCAUUAAUAAUUAAAACAUUGUAUAAUUAAACCAUUUUACAUUGAAAACCAAAUUGAAAUCCACAACAUUUAAACAACCAAAAUAUCAGAGUAUCAAUCCUAGAAUAAACUCAUAACUGCGGAAACAAAAGUGUGUGAUAUGCUGCUACCGAGCCUGCUCCUUCCCCUUGGCUGAAGAGGUACCUGAAACAACAACUAAAAAACGUAAGCACAAAGUUUAGUGAGUUCCCCCACUGUACCACAUACCAUAAUAAUCACAUAACAUACAUUUAUCGUCAGGCAUAUCUGGGUUGCUCGACCUACCCCUUCGGUCCUUUGGACCGGAUGUUGCCUAGCAUACCUGGGUGCUGGCCUCCCCUUCGGUCCUCUCGACCGGAUACUGGAGACUACUUCUCCCCUCUACUACUACCACAUAACAUGUACCACAGUAUCAGAAUCUAUCUAGCAUGGCUGGGUAUAACUACCCCUUCGGCCCUAUUGACCGGAUGUCUUGGGACUAUCUCCCCUACUACCACUAACACAUAGCAUCACAUCAUACUAGCACAUAAGCAUGGAACAGGUAGUAGUAACCCUAGAUGAAUAUCACGGAGACAAUCAUCCACAUACAACUCCUACUGGUGGGCCGGCAUUGUGGCCGUAGAUCCACCGCUACUGGAAGGUAACUCACCCCGAAGUAGCUGCUGGUCUGGUCGGGAACUGACUGCCUACUGCUGCUGCUGCUCCGGAAAUCCUCCGGCUGCAACUCCCACAACAUACUCAAUCAAUCACUGCUAACUGUCCUUUGGGUAAAAUGAUCAUUUUACCCCUGAUCAUGUCAUAAGUCAAAGUCAGAGUCAACUUUUAGUUGACCCGACUCGCCGAGUUGGCUCUCCAACUCGCCGAGUCCCUAUCCAAUCGAUUGCCCUGGAUCUCGUCCCUACUCGUCGAGUUAGACGUUGACUCGACGAGUUCUCCUUCUAAAUUGAGGUUCAAGUCCUUCAUCUUACUCGCCGAGUUGUAUGAACAACUCGCCGAGUUCAUCUUCAUCCGAAGAACACAUAUGCUGCGACUCGCCGAGUUGUAUGAACAACUCGCCGAGUUUGUUCUUGAUCUAAGGAGAUUGCCUUGAACUCGCCGAGUCAGGGCAUUGACUCGUCGAGUUCCUCCAUGGAUGAGUUUGGCUUCCAACUCACUGAGUCACACCCCGUGACUCACUACUCCCACUCAAACAACGAAAAGGGGACAAACUCGGAGACUCGCAAGCAGACUCGCCGAGUCAGAUGAACGACUCGCCGAGUUGUUACCAUGCAAUCACUAUAUGCUGGAUUCUGCUUGAAUCCAGCUUAUACUAUCCACAGAACUGGGUUCCUAGAGCAUGAAUAACACGUAAAGUUUUAGGGUUCAAAAUGCACCAAAUGAGUAGAUCUAGGGUCUUUAUGUAAUAUGGGUCCGUAAAGGCAGUAGAUCUGAGCUCUUGGAGCUCAACCAUGCCUAGAUCUAGAGGCCAAUCAGCUUAUUACGAAUUAUAUUGCACAUGCAAGCUUGGGGAAGGGCUCAAGAAGGACUUUAAUGGAGUAACAAGCAUAGAAACAGAGGGAAAACGAGUUAUACCUCCAAGAAAUUACUGAGAGAACACAAAGAUGCUUGACUUCCUUCCCUUCCUCUUGAUCUACUCCUCCUCCUCAAAAUCUUCAAGAAAACACACAAAAGGCCUCAAACUCACAAGAACAAGGGGUUAGAACGUAUGGAGAGCUCCUGAGGGUGAAGGGGGCUGGCUUAGGGCGGAAAUGAGGGCUUAAAUAGGGUGCAAACCCCUGAAACUUAGGGUUUCAUCAAACAGCGGUGACUCGCCGAGUCCAGGAUAUGGACUCGCCGAGUCGCCAACUUAAACAUGUCCCGGGUCCCGUCUCUACUCGGCGAGUCGGACCUAUGACUCGCUGAGUCCAAGGCUAAAAAUGGAAAUUACUCAAAUAAGAUUUACGUACCAGGAACCAGGUGCUACAUAUAGAACAAACAGGUAAAAUUUAUAUUUAUUAAAUUAUAUUAUAGAAUUAGGGAUACAUUUUACAAUUAUUUUCAGGUACAAUAUGAUAUUUGUUCCUUUCACUGCAAUAAACAAUCAUGAAAAGACAAUCAAUGUUGGAGUAGGACUAAUAUCAGAUGAAACAAUUGAAUCAUACUCUUGGUUAUUAGAAGCUUUUUUGUCAUCACAUAAGAAGAAACCAACAAUGAUUCUGUCAGACAUAGAUGUAGCAUUAUCUUCUUCAAUAGGAAAGGUGUUUCAAGGAUGUACUCACAGAUUAUGUAUGUGGCACAUAAUGUCAAAAAUGCCAUCAAAGAUUGACGCUGAUUUAGUUUCAAAUUCAGAUUUCAAGAAACGCAUAAAUCAACUAGUUUGGAAUAUGAAUAUUGAACCAUCAGAAUUUGAGAACAAAUGGGAUUUGAUGUUGAAUGAAUUUCAUUUGAAGGAUAAUAAAUGGUUGGCUGAUAUGUUCAACAAGAGAGAAAAAUGGAUUCCCUCAUAUUUCAGAGAUAUACCAAUGUCUUUUUCCUUCAACAUCUUCUCUGCAACUCUUUUGAGCAUGUCUUUUGACAAAUGGACAAUUUCUAGAAUCAUGUUGAACCAACGUAUUGCAAAAUUUACACAACCUCAUUUGUGUGUUAUACAUCUUAUUUUGAUGAAAAAUAUACAUUAUAUUGAAAUAUAUAUUAUUAGUUAUAACUUACACAUAAAUAUAUAUGCCACUAAUCUUCCGAAAUAUAUGUUAAGACUAUUUCAAAUCAUCAACUACAUAUUCAGAAUCAUUUUACUUAAAAAUAUUAAAUCUAAUGCGAUUGAAAAAUAUAAUAUUAGUUAUAACUUACACAUGUAUAUAUAUGCAACUAAUCUUCCGAAAUAUAUAAUAUUUUAUUACCUAGUAAAAUCUUUCAUUUAUUACUUAAAUCUAUUCAGAAUUAACAAUUAUAAAAAAUAUAAAUAUUCAUAAAUGCAGAAGUCAAAUCGACUUAAUUACAAUAAAUACAAACAAUCCUUUCAUAUAAAAAGCUUUUCAUCUAAUAGUAACUUUAUAUUUUAUAUUUAAAAAAAUGAAAAAAAAAAUAAUUACUAAAAAUAUAAUGUAAAAACUAUAAAUAAUAACAAGAUUAUAAUCUCAUUAUAACAUACAAAAAAAAUAUUUAUUUUAUUUAUAUCAAAUUAAUAAAAGAAGGUAAUAUAUACCGAUUUGUUUGAUAAAAUGCAAAAAAAAAAAAAAUAAAUAAAUAAAAUUAAUUCAUAAGAAGAUAAGGAUUAUCAUCUUCAAUGUAUAGAUACCAUGAUUACCUAAAUCUACAACCGCCAUAAUAGACUAUAAUAUUUAUUGAAGCAAAUGAUGGCAGAAAAUUAAUUACCUACUCUACUAACUCCAAUUGUUACCGCUAUAUAUUCCUCCUCAACAUCACCAUAAACUUAAAGAAAAAAAAACUAUCCAUUGAUGGCUUCUGAAUCAUCGCUUUGGGUAGUUCGGAACUCCUCGGAUUAUCUUGAUCUUUACGACAUAUAUGGGUGGGAAAACAAAAAGUACUUCACAAUGAUGCUAAACCAUGGAGGUAGUUUCCACUACUACCCAAAUCGAGAUUACAUUGGAGGCAACAUUGACUAUAUAGACUUCAUCGAGGUUGAAACUUUCUCUGCAGAGGUAUUUCAUACCAUCUUAAGUUCUUUUGGUUAUGAUGUUGCGACAACAUAUGCAUACUCUUUAGUCUCGUUUGCUCCUUUAGACGUUGGUCUAAACAAGCUUGCUUAUUGGAAUGAUUUCUUGAACUUUGUCAAAAAAGUUAAAAUAGAUGGGUUUUUUUUUUUGUGUUCAACAAGUUUAUUUGGAGCAUAAUCAAACCACUGUUACAAACUUCUUCCCAAAAACAUUAAACUUUGCAACCAACAGUUAUAUGUGCACGAAACUCUAUUCAAUGGUUGCAUCAAAUCCAAAAAUUACUGUUUGGGAGGCUAGGAUCAUGCUUUUUGACGAAUUCAACUUUUGGAUAAAUGUUGACAAACUCAUUGAAGCUUUGGAUUACACAAAGUAUCAAGUGAAUCUUCUGGGUAAGUAGAUGAAGUUGCAAGGUGAAAAGGUGGGAAUUUGGGUUUUUGGGUUUUUAGAUUUAAGGAAAUGGUGUUAGUAUGAAUAUUUGGUCAUUUAUAUAAUAUGUUUAUGUGCUCUAACUUCUUUUGGGAUGACUGUAAUGGGGAUUGUAAUAUAUUUAUAAAUAUUAUCGAUGGUGGUUGUUAGUUUGUUAA
Molecule: non-coding RNA, 14579 nt
Organism: Lactuca sativa (garden lettuce)
Lineage: Eukaryota; Viridiplantae; Streptophyta; Magnoliopsida; Asterales; Asteraceae
Source: RefSeq, a predicted model, not a curated record